GCGGGAGUAGUUCAGCGGUAGAACACCACCUUGCCAAGGUGGGGGUCGCGGGUUCAAAUCCCGUCUCCCGCU
Molecule: transfer RNA, 72 nt
Filed under: Bacteroidota bacterium
Lineage: Bacteria; Pseudomonadati; Bacteroidota
Description: Bacteroidetes bacterium (hydrothermal vent metagenome) tRNA-Gly
Rfam family: tRNA
About the family: Transfer RNA (tRNA) molecules are approximately 80 nucleotides in length. Their secondary structure includes four short double-helical elements and three loops (D, anti-codon, and T loops).
Source: RNAcentral